Molecule: ribosomal RNA, 468 nt
Filed under: uncultured bacterium
Lineage: Bacteria
Description: partial 16S ribosomal RNA
Rfam family: Bacterial small subunit ribosomal RNA
Source: RNAcentral
GGGGGGGGGGGGGGGGGGGGGGGGGGGAUGGGAGGCGGACGGGAGGGCCCUGCUUGUGGGGGGUGCUCGAGUGGCGAACGGGGGAGUAACGCGUGAGGAACCUGCCCUUGACUUGGGGGGAACUUCAGGAAACUGGGGCUAAUACCGGAUAGGAGCUCCUGCUGCAUGGUGGGGGGUGGAAAGGUUCGGCGGUUGGGGAUGGAAUCGCGGCUUAUCAGCUUGUUGGUGGGGUAGUGGCUUACCAAGGCUUUGACGGGUAGCCGGCCUGAGAGGGUGACCGGCCACAUUGGGACUGAGGUACGGCCCAGACUCCUACGGGAGGCAGCAGUGGGGAAUAUUGCACAAUGGGCGGAAGCCUGAUGCAGCACCGCCGCGUGCGGGAUGACGGCCUUCGGGUUGUAAACCGCUUUCGCCUGUGACGAAGCGUGAGUGACGGUAAUGGGUAGAGAAGCACCGGCUAACUACGUG